RNAcentral lists this ribosomal RNA (464 nucleotides) under uncultured bacterium. RNAcentral describes it as "partial 16S ribosomal RNA". It matches the Rfam family "Bacterial small subunit ribosomal RNA", at positions 338 to 795 of the family's 1533-position model. The record is from RNAcentral.
CCUACGGGAGGCAGCAGUAGGGAAUUUUCGUCAAUGGGCGCAAGCCUGAACGAGCAAUGCCGCGUGAACGAGGAAGGUCUUCGGAUCGUAAAGUUCUGUUGAUGGGGAAAAAGAGCGGAGAGAGGAAAUGGUCUCCGAUUGAUAUUACCAUUCGAGGAAGUCACGGCUAACUACGUGCCAGCAGCCGCGGUAAUACGUAGGUGGCGAGCGUUAUCCGGAAUGAUUGGGCGUAAAGGGUGCGUAGGCGGCCUGUUAAGUCUGGAGUGAAAGGUAGCGGCUCAACCGGGACAGGCUCUGGAAACUGGCGGGCUAGAGAGCAGGAGAGGGCGGUGGAACUCCAUGUGUAGCGGUAAAAUGCGUAGAUAUAUGGAAGAACACCAGUGGCGAAGGCGGCCGCCUGGCCUGUUACUGACGCUGAGGCACGAAAGCGUGGGGAGCAAAUAGGAUUAGAUACCCGAGUAGUC